Molecule: long non-coding RNA, 230 nt
Organism: Entelurus aequoreus (snake pipefish)
Lineage: Eukaryota; Metazoa; Chordata; Actinopteri; Syngnathiformes; Syngnathidae
Exons: 3
Source: RefSeq, a predicted model, not a curated record
UGAGGUCGAACCCUUCGGUGGAGUCCGGCACGGAGGUGCGGUGCUGAGGCUGGUUGGGGAAGGGAGUGCCUGGAGGGAGGACUGGACCCGACAUGUUGGCCUGGGGGCUUCCGUGUGGGUCCCACUGCUCUGUCAUCCUGGUGACUCUCCCUCUCACACCUGGACUUGGCAGACAUGUUCAACACUGGAAGAACGCCCGCCAUGGAGACAACCCUACAAGUCUCUUAUGA